This 299-nucleotide unclassified non-coding RNA is filed under the name plant metagenome. RNAcentral describes it as "partial contains 5.8S ribosomal RNA, internal transcribed spacer 2, and large subunit ribosomal RNA". The stretch from base 1 to 105 matches the Rfam family "5.8S ribosomal RNA", at positions 50 to 154 of the family's 154-position model. The record is from RNAcentral.
GAAAUGCGAUAAGUAAUGUGAAUUGCAGAAUUCAGUGAAUCAUCGAAUCUUUGAACGCACAUUGCGCUCGCCAGUAUUCUGGCGAGCAUGCCUGUUCGAGCGUCAUUUCAACCAUCAAGCUCUGCUUGCGUUGGGGAUCCGCGGCUGCCCGCGGUCCCUCAAAAACAGUGGCGGGCUCGCUAGUCACACCGAGCGUAGUAACUCUACAUCGCUAUGGUCGUGCGGCGGGUUCUUGCCGUAAAACCCCCAAUUUCUAAGGUUGACCUCGGAUCAGGUAGGAAUACCCGCUGAACUUGAGC